RNAcentral lists this unclassified non-coding RNA (217 nucleotides) under uncultured Amanita. Its description in RNAcentral is "sequence contains ITS2". Lineage: Eukaryota; Fungi; Basidiomycota; Agaricomycetes; Agaricales; Amanitaceae. The record is from RNAcentral.
UAAAUUAUCAAAGUCACCUUGAAUUUAUUGGGGUGGUUUUGGAAGUGGGAGAUGCAGGUCUUUGUAGUAUGUAUGGGACCAGCUAUCCUGAAAUAUAUUAGCAGAGUCAAGUGGAGCUUUCACUGGUGUAAUAAGAAUAAAUAUUGUCACCGAAAAAAGAGAAAGCGACAUGUGUUGAAGUCUGCUGCUUGUCGUCCGUGUGUGGACAAGUUGAUUA